GGUGAACGCUGGCGGCGUGCCUAAGACAUGCCAGUCGAGCGGGGCAGGUUUAUACCUGUUCAGCGGCGGACGGGUGAGUAACGCGUGGGUGACCUACCCGGAAGAGGCGGACAACCUGGGGAAACCCAGGCUAAUCCGCCAUGUGGUCCUGUCCUGUGGGGCAGGACUAAAGGGUGGAUAGCCCGCUUCCGGAUGGGCCCGCGUCCCAUCAGCUAGUUGGUGGGGUAAAGGCCCACCAAGGCGACGACGGGUAGCCGGUCUGAGAGGAUGGCCGGCCACAGGGGCACUGAGACACGUGCCCCACUCCUACGGGAGGCAGCAGUUAGGAAUCUUCCGCAAUGGACGGAAGUCUGACGGAGCGACGCCGCUGGGAGGAGGAAGCCCUUCGGGGUGUAAACUCCUGAACUGGGGACGAAAGCCCUGUGUAGGGGGAUGACGGUACCCAGGUAAUAGCGCCGGCCAACUCCGUG
RNAcentral lists this ribosomal RNA (470 nucleotides) under uncultured bacterium. Its description in RNAcentral is "partial 16S ribosomal RNA". It matches the Rfam family "Bacterial small subunit ribosomal RNA", at positions 28 to 507 of the family's 1533-position model. The record is from RNAcentral.